RNAcentral lists this ribosomal RNA (372 nucleotides) under uncultured bacterium. RNAcentral's name for it is "bacterial SSU rRNA". It matches the Rfam family "Bacterial small subunit ribosomal RNA", at positions 28 to 376 of the family's 1533-position model. The record is from RNAcentral.
GAUGAACGCUGGCGGCGUGCUUAACACAUGCAAGUCGAACGGGGUGCUCAUGACGGAGGAUUCGUCCAAUGGAUUGAGUUACCUAGCGGCGGACGGGUGAGUAACGCGUGAGGAACCUGCCUUGGAGAGGGGGAUAACACUCCGAAAGGAGUGCUAAUACCGCAUGAUGCAGUUGGGUCGCAUGGCUCUGACUGCCAAAGAUUUAUCGCUCUGAGAUGGCCUCGCGUUCUGAUUAGCUAGUAGGCGGGGGUAACGGCCCACCUAGGCGACGAUCAGUAGCCGGACUGAGAGGUUGACCGGCCACAUUGGGACUGAGACACGGGCCCAGACUCCGUACGGGAGGCAGCAGUGGGGAAUAGUUGGGCAAGUGGG